UCAGGAUGAACGCUGGCGGCGUGCUUAACACAUGCAAGUCGAACGGUGAAGCCAAGCUUGCUUGGUGGAUCAGUGGCGAACGGGUGAGUAACACGUGAGCAACCUGCCCUGGACUCUGGGAUAAGCGCUGGAAACGGCGUCUAAUACUGGAUAUGAGCCCCUAUCGCAUGGUGGGGGUUGGAAAGAUUUUUUGGUCUGGGAUGGGCUCGCGGCCUAUCAGCUUGUUGGUGAGGUAAUGGCUCACCAAGGCGUCGACGGGUAGCCGGCCUGAGAGGGUGACCGGCCACACUGGGACUGAGACACGGCCCAGACUCCUACGGGAGGCAGCAGUGGGGAAUAUUGCACAAUGGGCGAAAGCCUGAUGCAGCAACGCCGCGUGAGGGAUGACGGCCUUNGGGUUGUAAACCUCUUUUAGCAGGGAAGAAGCGAAAGUGACGGUACCUGCAGAAAAAGCGCCGGCUAACUA
RNAcentral lists this ribosomal RNA (466 nucleotides) under Microbacterium sp. RNAcentral describes it as "bacterial SSU rRNA". It matches the Rfam family "Bacterial small subunit ribosomal RNA", at positions 24 to 503 of the family's 1533-position model. Lineage: Bacteria; Bacillati; Actinomycetota; Actinomycetes; Micrococcales; Microbacteriaceae. The record is from RNAcentral.